AGUGAGCGCUGGCGGUAGGCCUAACACAUGCAAGUCGAACGGCAGCACAGUAAGAGCUUGCUCUUACGGGUGGCGAGUGGCGGACGGGUGAGGAAUACAUCGGAAUCUACUUUUUCGUGGGGGAUAACGUAGGGAAACUUACGCUAAUACCGCAUACGACCUACGGGUGAAAGCAGGGGAUCUUCGGACCUUGCGCGAUUGAAUGAGCCGAUGUCGGAUUAGCUAGUUGGCGGGGUAAAGGCCCACCAAGGCGACGAUCCGUAGCUGGUCUGAGAGGAUGAUCAGCCACACUGGAACUGAGACACGGUCCAGACUCCUACGGGAGGCAGCUGUGGGGAAUAUUGGACAAUGGGCGCAAGCCUGAUCCAGCCAUACCGCGUGGGUGAAGAAGGCCUUCGGGUUGUAAAGCCCUUUUGUUGGGAAAGAAAAGCAGCAGGUUAAUACCCCGCUGUUCUGACGGUACCCAAAGAAUAAGCACCGGCUAACUUCGUG
This 492-nucleotide ribosomal RNA is filed under the name uncultured bacterium. RNAcentral describes it as "partial 16S ribosomal RNA". It matches the Rfam family "Bacterial small subunit ribosomal RNA", at positions 29 to 507 of the family's 1533-position model. The record is from RNAcentral.